AUUGAACGCUGGCGGAAUGCUUUACACAUGCAAGUCGAACGGCAGCACGGACUUCGGUCUGGUGGCGAGUGGCGAACGGGUGAGUAAUGUAUCGGAACGUGCCCAGUCGUGGGGGAUAACGUAGUGAAAAUUACGCUAAUACCGCAUACGAUCUAUGGAUGAAAGCGGGGGAUCGCAAGACCUCGCGCGAUUGGCGCGGCCGAUAUCAGAUUAGGUAGUUGGUGGGGUAAAGGCCCACCAAGCCAACGAUCUGUAGCUGGUCUGAGAGGACGACCAGCCACACUGGAACUGAGACACGGUCCAGACUCCUACGGGAGGCAGCAGUGGGGAAUUUUGGACAAUGGGCGAAAGCCUGAUCCAGCCAUUCCGCGUGCAGGAUGAAGGCCCUCGGGUUGUAAACUGCUUUUGUACGGAACGAAAAGGUUUCUACUAAUACUAGGAGCUCAUGACGGUACUGUAAGAAUAAGCACCGGCUAACUACGUGCCAGCAGCCGCGGUAA
RNAcentral lists this ribosomal RNA (500 nucleotides) under uncultured bacterium. RNAcentral's name for it is "partial 16S ribosomal RNA". It matches the Rfam family "Bacterial small subunit ribosomal RNA", at positions 30 to 523 of the family's 1533-position model. The record is from RNAcentral.